CGACCCACGAUUUUGCGAUGUUUUAUCGGUGUUUUUGUGAUUUAAAAUGAUCGCUAGUUUUCAUACAAAUUGUUUUAAUAAGAGGUGGUACACUGAUAAGAACACUUCUGAUAACGUUUAUUUACUGCACCAGUGUACACUUUUAUAAACACACAGAUACAUUUAUUGGCAGCAAAUUUCAGUGGUUGAAGCUGAUAAGCUUUUACAAAGGUAUUAUUGUGAGUGAGUUCCCGACAUUCUGCGCAAAUAUGGGUCAACAUAAGAAUCCGGUCUCAGUUGCGCCGCGUAUAACAUUCAGAAAUGAGUGGGAUAAAGGACGAAGCUUCUGCAAUAGCUAAUGCUACCGCAGGCACUAAGAGAAGUAACGAUGGAGGCGCUGGUGAACAAGUGUCGAGGCUCAAGGGGCGUAAAAUCGCACAAUUGGAUCGGUCAACUUGCUCAGCUGGACCUUCAACUACUCAUCCACCCACCACAAUCUUUGCACUAAACACCUAUUGCUGGGAUAAGAUACUGUCCUAUUUGUGCCUGAGUGAGCAACUACAUCUCGCUGCCUCAAAUCAUCAGCUAAAAAUGCUUAUUGAAGCGCUGCAACACAGGUACAACAUCAUUGAAGAAAGCGUCACCGGAAGUAUCGGCGAAUCGGAGCUGCAACAACUACUGGACAUUGUCAGAGAGCACGUGAUCAGCUAUGAGUCGCCAUUGGAUCCGCUUUCUGGGCAGGAUCGGCAUUUGUGGAUGUUGCGGGACUACUGCCCAGACCUGCGACACCUCAAAAUGUCUUUUCGACGCCCCCGAUGGCACGAUUUGUUGCAAUUGAAGAAUCUAACAUCGUUACAUGCUAGCCUGCACUUCUCGAAUGCUGGUCUUUAUAAGAAUUUUAUAAUUAGCCUAAGUGCUUUGCCGCACCUGAAGAAAUUGAAAUUGGAGGCGACAUCCUACACGGGCGACGGACUACAUGCCCUGGAUAAAUUGGAGUACCUGGAGAUGGGCAACCAGCAUGGAUUCGAUGCCAGCAUUUUGGCCUCGUGCUGCAUGACAAUGAAGAAGUUGUGCCACCUUAACAUGGGUGAAAACACCGCCAACCUGGAAGGGGAAGACUUUCGGGUAAUUUUAAGAAGGGGCCACAAUCUGGAAAGGCUCGCCUUUACGAUAAUCAAUUUGAAAGAAAAUGUACCCUACGAUACUGUCCACCAGCUUCCCAAAUUGAAACACUUGCAGUUGUGGCAUUGCGACAUUAAUGCCAGUUUCAUCGAGAAACUCAUUCAAAAACCGGGCACUCCGUUGGAAAGUCUUAUUUUGGUGGGAGAUACCCUGGAACCGGAACAAGUAGAUCAUAUCUGCGAGAUAUCUUCACUUCGGGAGUUGUCUGUCGCAUGCAGAACAGAUGCAGCAAGAAGUUUUCUACGUCUGAAGCAUUUAGAAAUCUUGGACGUGCAAAUGCCAGAUGUCAGCAACGAUGAGCUGCUUGCGCUUCUGGAAGGAUGUGCUCUUUUAAACGUACUUGGUGUCCGAUAUUGCAGGCUAAUCACCUCUGAAUUUGUGUUAAAAGCUUUAAGUUUGUACAGUGACAGAAAAAUUAAAAUCUAUUUGCAUGAGUCAUCUGUUGAUUGGUGCCUUCUUCAUCUUCCGGUUCUGAAUGGCAAUACGAACAUUCAGUUCAUAAACGGCUAUUUAAAGAGUCCCAUAUUGAUGAACAACGAUUAAAUACAAACGAACAGAAUUUUUUGUUAGUUCAUAAAAAAACGUUUGACUUUUGCCAAAUAUUGCCUUACUAUAUUGGUAUUUAUGCCUUAUUUCUUGCAGAGCACGGAGGAAAUGGAUAUGAUGUAGGCGAACGGGAUUCAUUCCAGUUUAUUAUUAUUUAACCCUACAAGGUAUUCUAUGUAUAUUUCCAGAGAUGAUGACAUUUACAGGCUGCCGGGGCUCACGAUAUUAUACAAUGCUACCUGGUCUCCAGGACAUCGAGAUCGCAAAGGUCAGCAAUUGUGUGCAGGAUCACAAUGAUGGCCGGCAGUUGCGAAAUGUCUCGUCCAAAACAAUGCAAAAUCCGAUACACCUUUUCUUCAUUAUCUAAGGGCGUCGCAGCUGCUCUAGAAAACAUGCACAAAAUAUUCGGGGCAAUAGUCAUACAUAUAUGCUGAAUUAAGUCAACAUUUUGUAAGAAGCAAUAUAUAUUGAAUAGUUAUAACAAAUAUGUUGUAAAUAUUAAGCCACGUUAUGUAAUAUUUUCAAAUUAAAAGGGUUAAACAAAAAAUUAAAAAAUCAGGAAACAUAUUUUAGAUAAUAAUAGAACAUAAUUCAUAGAUAAGAAAUCAAAACAAUCACCAUAAUUGUUAACAAAUUCGCAUAUUAUUUAUUUUAAAGAAUGUUAUAUUUGUAUUUUUUAUAAAUAUAUAAAUAAAUAAAUUCAUAGGGAAGACGUACAUCGUUAAAGUCAUCCGAAUUGAUAAAUAUA
Drosophila sechellia is the source of this 2455-nucleotide RNA transcript. RefSeq lists it as uncharacterized. Lineage: Eukaryota; Metazoa; Arthropoda; Insecta; Diptera; Drosophilidae. The transcript is spliced from 2 exons. The record is from RefSeq and is a predicted model, not a curated record.